RNAcentral lists this ribosomal RNA (471 nucleotides) under Triticum aestivum (bread wheat). RNAcentral's name for it is "partial small subunit ribosomal RNA". Lineage: Eukaryota; Viridiplantae; Streptophyta; Magnoliopsida; Poales; Poaceae. The record is from RNAcentral.
AUGGGCUGGAGCUCGAGCUUGUCAAUGAAGACCCUGGCGAUGUCGGAGGUGGGCGAGCGCGACGCAAUGGCCAUGUCGACCCCCUUCUCCUUGAGCGCGCACAUGAUGCCCUUGGCGUGGCGGUACAGGCUGGGCGACUCCCUCUUCGAGCGGCACUCGCUGGCGAACGGAAAAGCCCAAUCGAGCGUCAGAUCACCGGCGGAACCCAGCGGAAUCGGGGCCGAGGAGCGGGGCGUACCAGUAGAAGGGCCACAGGGUGUAGUCGAGGUCGAAGACGACGAGGCGGGGGAGCACCUGGAACAGGCCCAGGAUCUGCAGCGCCUCCGCCUUCACGCGCUCGUCGCCCAUCCCGGACGGCCGGACCCCUCCUCCUCUCCUCGCUGCUGCUGCGGCGGCCGUGGCGGAGAUUGCUCGCCGGCGGCAGGGAGGGAUUGGUCGCCCGGUUCAACGGCGCUCGGCUGGGGCAGGUAA